GUCUAGAGGCUUCGACAAUGCCCGAAAGCCUGACCCAGCAACGCCGCGUGAAGGAAGAAGGUCUUCGGAUCGUAAACUUCUAUCCUUGGUGAAGAUAAUGACGGUAGCCGAGAAGGAAGCCCCGGCUAACUACGUGCCAGCAGCCGCGGUAAUACGUAGGGGGCAAGCGUUGUCCGGAAUGAUUGGGCGUAAAGGGCGCGUAGGCGGCCUGGUAAGUCUGGAGUGAAAGUCCUGCUUUUAAGGUGGGAAUUGCUUUGGAUACUGUCGGGCUUGAGUGCAGGAGAGGUAAGUGGAAUUCCCGGUGUAGCGGUGAAAUGCGAAGAGAUCGGGAGGAACACCAGUGGCGAAGGCGACUUACUGGACUGUAACUGACGCUGAGGCGCGAAAGUGUGGGGAGCAAACAGGAUUAGAAACCCUAGUAGUCC
This 425-nucleotide ribosomal RNA is filed under the name uncultured bacterium. RNAcentral describes it as "partial 16S ribosomal RNA". It matches the Rfam family "Bacterial small subunit ribosomal RNA", at positions 354 to 796 of the family's 1533-position model. The record is from RNAcentral.